Molecule: long non-coding RNA, 2035 nt
Organism: Bos indicus x Bos taurus (hybrid cattle)
Lineage: Eukaryota; Metazoa; Chordata; Mammalia; Artiodactyla; Bovidae
Source: Ensembl
GGAGACGAGGUUUGCAGCCACCUCCGUGGAGGAUGGAGCAGCUUCUCCAUUCCCUAUGCUGUGCUGCGGCAACCAGAUUGAUGAGGCUUUGCUGGAGGAAGACUCCCCAUCAGGCCCCGUCCUGGCCAUGUGGAGUGGACAAGUGAGCAGAUGAAUGAAUGGGUAAGCUGCUGCCAACCUGGGGUUGCUGUCCUGUGACGUAUCUCAUGUCAGUCCAGUUUUGCUCACGAGGAGAACAGGGCCAAGUAACGCAGACCAGGCCCACAGGACGGCGAGGACCCACCUCCCUGCUGCAGUGAGGGAGGGCACUCGGGCCAGGAGCCAGAAGCAGAGCGUGUGGAGCCCUGCAGGCAGUGACCAGCAGGUGUCCUGUCAUGAAGGGCCUUGAGCUGUGCAAGUUCGGACUUUGUCCUGAGGGAGGAAGGGACAGCAGUCUGCAGGCCCUGCCACACAAAGCUCCCAGGGACCCUGUCAUCGCGCCACUCUCAGCUCUACAACCCAUGCAUAGUUUGGAUGUUAAUUCCACUGCUUUUUUUUUAAUGGCUGUGCUGGAUCUUUGUUGCUGCUCAUGGGCUUUCUCCAGUUGUGGCAAGUGGGGCCUACUCUCUAGGUGUGGUGUUCGGGGCUCACUGCCAUGGUUUUCAGGGUGCAGAGCACGGGCCCUAGCGCUCACAGGCUUCAGCAGUUGCGGCUCAGGCUUGGUAGUUGUGGCUCAUGGGCUGUGUUGUCCCGAGGUGUGUAGGAUCUUCCCAGACCAGGACUCGAACCCAUGUCCCCUGCAUUGGCAGGUGGAUUCUUUACCGCUGAGCCACCAGGGAGGCCCUCCCCUGCUUUCUGGCAGAGUCCUUUCCCCCAGGCCCCAACAGGCUCACCUGUGAAGCUUGUCCCCCCGACAGCCCCUGGCACAGUGGGGUCCAGGGGGUGACUUGAGGGCCGUGGUGAACUCUGAGGCAGGGAGCUCAUGCCAGAAAGAAGCAGCACCCUCAUGAGAAAUGACUCUACGUGGGGAGGGGUGGGUGGCAAGGAGUGAUUUUAAGAAUCACAAAGCCUACCACAUACCAAGCGAGCUCGCAGGGACCCUCGUGGCAUCUCUGUGCGGGACACAUAACUGUCGCAGUCUAAGAACAGAGAACCAGAGAGGACAACGGGUUUAAAAUGUCACGUGUGUUUUUUUUUUAUUAUAGCAGUAAUCAUGCAUCAAGUGAAGAAUGUUUUUCCUAUUAACGUUAAAUUUCAAUAUUUACAUAUUUAUUAGCAUGUAAAAUCCAAUUUCCUACAGUGUUUACUUCAAUUAAUUUGGCUGAUUCUAAUUAUUUUUUCUAAUUUGUUUUUCAUUUUACUUUUCAGUAUUUCCUCCUUUAUCUUUUUAACUGGCUAAGUGCUCAGAUUUUUCUUUCAUUAUUAAUUCUAAGCCCCUUUUUUAGGGAAUGGUCAGUAUAGAUCUUCCUGUACAAGUGCGGCCACCUCCGCACAGGUGAUGGUUAAUCUGAAGACCUCAGUCUCACAAAUCAGAGCCUGUGAAUUCUGGAGACACAGAAUCUACCUUAUUAUUUUAUAAGUUUUUGUCUUAUAAUAGAGCCACAGAAAAACCCAUAAAACAUGCAUGUAACAGUUUACUGACAUAAACCAGCAUCUGUGUCCUUGCCACCAAAUCAGGAAACAGAACACUGCAGACUCAAGGGUGCAGCUCACCUCAGCCUCCCCCAGAGGUCCUGCUGACCUCAUCGAACCGCUUCCUUCUGUUUAUUUGUACUUUAAUCACCUAAGUAUACAUCCCUGAACAUUUUAGUUUGGCUUUGCCCGUUUUUUUUUUAUUAUACAAGUGAAAUGAUAGAGCCUGACUGUUGCACAUCUUGUUUCUUUCAUCCAACUUGAUGCCUCCUGUUGUGUCUCUAGUUUAUCUCUGUCAAAGCUGGUACUAAGCCAUUGUGUAAAUGUGCCAGAGUUUAUCCACGUUACUGUUGAUGAGCAUUUGAUUGUUUCUAGUUUGGGAGAUUAUGAAUAAAGCUGUUGUGAACUUUCUUAUGCUUGUGCA